This 253-nucleotide ribosomal RNA is filed under the name uncultured bacterium. Its description in RNAcentral is "partial 16S ribosomal RNA". It matches the Rfam family "Bacterial small subunit ribosomal RNA", at positions 524 to 776 of the family's 1533-position model. The record is from RNAcentral.
UACGAAGGGUGCAAACGUUGCUCGGAAUUAUUGGGCGUAAAGCGCACGUAGGCGGCCUUGUAAGUCGGAUGUGAAAUCCCUCGGCUUAACCGAGGACGUGCAUCCGAAACUGUGAGGCUCGAGUAUGGAAGAGGGUCACAGAAUUCCCGGUGUAGAGGUGAAAUUCGUAGAUAUCGGGAGGAAUACCAGUGGCGAAGGCGGCGACCUGGGCCAAUACUGACGCUGAGGCGCGAAAGCCAGGGGAGCGAACGGG